AACCCUAAACAUCACACAAAUCACCAAAAAACGCAAAUGAAAAUCUGGAAAAUGACUGAUUUCGGUUUCGGUAAACCAUAGUAUGGGUGUUAACUUGAGAAGAAACCCACUUCUAAGUUCUUUUUUCUGAACUGGGUUUGUGGAAUUUGAAUGUUAUUGUUGACAGGAAAAUGAACGCACAAGCAGCGAUGCAGAUGAGUGGCGAGCUAUGGGAAACAUGGAUCACAACACAGUAACAACACCCAAGAGCUUGUGUUUUCUCAUCGUCGGUAUCUUCGCUUUUUUAAGCCAGACUUGGAAUUUAGGACUGAAGUAAUUAUAGCGACAUCACCAACACGUCCGGAUAACAACAACAAACUCAAACAGCUCCAAGUUUCGAAGAGUCACGUUUCGGUAACAACUUCAAGUUUCUUCCAAUCUAUCGUUGUUGUGUGCUGUUGUGACAAUUUCAUUUUUUUAUUUCAUG
Molecule: long non-coding RNA, 466 nt
Filed under: Lathyrus oleraceus (garden pea)
Lineage: Eukaryota; Viridiplantae; Streptophyta; Magnoliopsida; Fabales; Fabaceae
Description: Pisum sativum (pea) long non-coding RNA (PSAT_LNC017688)
Source: RNAcentral